GGCUUAACACAUGCAAGUCGAGGGGUAACAGGGAUUGCUUGCAAUCCGCUGACGACCGGCGCACGGGUGCGUAACGCGUAUGCAACCUACCUUUUACAAGGGGAUAGCCCAGAGAAAUUUGGAAUAAUACCCUAUACGAUCAUUAAUUGGCAUCAAUUAAUGAAGAAAACUCCGGUGGUAAAAGAUGGGCAUGCGUCCUAUUAGUUAGUUGGUAAGGUAACGGCUUACCAAGACUUCGAUAGGUAGGGGUCCUGAGAGGGAGAUCCCCCACACUGGUACUGAGACACGGACCAGACUCCUACGGGAGGCAGCAGUGAGGAAUAUUGGACAAUGGAGGCAACUCUGAUCCAGCCAUGCCGCGUGCAGGAAGACGGCCCUACGGGUUGUAAACUGCUUUUAUACAGGAAGAACUAUAUCUACGUGUAGAUAUUUGACGGUACUGUACGAAUAAGGAUCGGCUAA
Molecule: ribosomal RNA, 462 nt
Filed under: uncultured Bacteroidota bacterium
Lineage: Bacteria; Pseudomonadati; Bacteroidota
Description: bacterial SSU rRNA
Rfam family: Bacterial small subunit ribosomal RNA
Source: RNAcentral